Molecule: long non-coding RNA, 1657 nt
Organism: Ahaetulla prasina
Lineage: Eukaryota; Metazoa; Chordata; Lepidosauria; Squamata; Colubridae
Exons: 4
Source: RefSeq, a predicted model, not a curated record
GGAGGGAACAGGAUAUAACGUUGUCCUCCUUUCCAAAUUAAUUGUAGAUAGCAAAUCAGCCACAUCUGAUCUGAUGUCUUAUUAGGGUGUUCUCCUCUGAUGUCAUUCCAUUUCCCUGAAGUUUCUACUUCCUCCUCUAACAAAUGGCUACCUUUUGGGGAUUUUCUUAAAACAGGACCAACAAAUUUCUAUUUCCUUCUCUAACAAUGGCUACCUUAAGGCAAUUUUCUUAAAGCAGGACCAGCAAAUUGAGUUACAAAAUGCUGGAUGAUCACUAGGUGGAAGCAAAGAUCAUUAGAAUUUUCUUCUCUCUUUGCUGCCAUCUGGUGGAUCAACCAGAUUUUUACAAUCCAGUUCUCAUAGCCUAUCCCUAUCAAAGAUUUAAAAGAACUAAUAAGCAGGAUUUUUAAACUGGAUCAUACUUGCAUAUGUCAACCACAUACUGAGCUAUCUUUUCUGACAAACUGAUCCUACAAAUAAAAAAUUCUGAUGUUUCCAAAGGCAAAACUAUAUUUGAUAUUCAUUUUCUAUUUGUUCACCUUAUUUUUGUGUGUUAUUCUUUGGCAACUUGAAAAGCUAUGCCCUUCCCACCCCGGGCUCCAAAUCCUGGCUUUCCUAAAUAUUCUUCAAGCCUCUCUCUGGCAUUUUCUCCAGGGGUGCUUUGCCAGAAGGACAGGUGCACCUCACCUCCUGAGAUUUGGGCCACACCCGCUAAAAAAAUGGAUUGAUAUAGAGGAAAGAGAGCUUUGCUGUAAGAUGUUUCAUUAGCCUAACUAGGUAACACCAUCAAUGCUGGUGCUUUUGACAUCAGUAAAGAAGAAGAAAUCCUACCCCCGACGAGAAUCACCAGAAUGUUCAAGAAUAAAUCUGAAAAUGUUGGAAAUGUCAUCAGAUACCUGGUUCAUACUACCAUAUGUGACGGACAUGCGUAGAAGCUAAAAGUUAUUGGACUAAAAUCCACACGUGGUUGGAAAAAAUGAUUUAAAAACAUAUAGACUUUAAACCAGAGGUUUUCUUAUUGGGGAUUAUACCUGAAACUUAUAAUAGAGAAUUGAGAUAUUUGAUCGUGAAUGUAGUAACAGCAGCUAGAAUUGUGCUUGCAAAAAAUUGGAAAAAUUAGAAAACACCAACACAAGAUGAAAUUAUUAGGAAAAUAAUGGAAUGUGGAGAAAUGAGUAAAUUGACAUUUGAAAUUAGAGAACAGAAAGAUAAAAUAAAUCCGAUAUCUUGUAAUAUUGUUUAUCAAUGUUAGAUAAUAAAAUAUGUUAAUGAAAUUUGAUAGAGAUAUGUGUAACAUAAGAAUUGUUGAAAGAUGUAAAUAUAAUGUAACAUCAUUAAUUUGAAUUAAAAUGAGGAACAAAUGAUAUAAGGUAAGCAAUAAAAUUUUUAGAACAUAUUAUAUGAAGAUAGGGAGGACAUAUUCAUAGUUAAAUAAAUGAUAUACUGGCCAAAAAAAUUGGAUAACAUUAAAUUGGUAAAAUGUAAAACUAGAUGAAUUACCUACUAUAAGUAUAGUGAAAUUGCACAAAAAGAUCUGUAAGUAACCAACCGACACACUGUUUGUAUUUUUAUUGAAGAUGUGUUUAUGUAUGUUUGUUUGGAAAAUAAAACUUUAAAAAAAAAGAAGAAAUCCAUUACUGUUAUAAUAUUAAAAUAU